Molecule: ribosomal RNA, 1511 nt
Filed under: Armatimonadetes bacterium Uphvl-Ar2
Lineage: Bacteria; Bacillati; Armatimonadota
Description: bacterial SSU rRNA
Rfam family: Bacterial small subunit ribosomal RNA
Source: RNAcentral
UUUUUCGGAGAGUUUGAUCAUGGCUCAGGACGAACGCUGGCGGUGUGCCUAAAACAUGCAAGUCGAACGGACCUUCGGGUCAGUGGCGAACGGCGGAGUAAUACAUGAGUAACGUGCCCUUCAGACGGGGAUAUACAGUCGAAAGACUGGGCAAUACCGGAUGAGAUGGCGAGGAGGCAUCUCCUUGUCAUGAAAUGGUUUUUCGCUGAAGGAGCGGCUCAUGACACAUCAGAUAGUUGGUGGGGUAACGGCCUACCAAGUCUACGACGUGUAGGGGGUCUGAGAGGAUGAUCCCCCCGAGUGGGACUGAGACACGGCCCACACACCUACGGGUGGCAGCAGUUGGGAAUCUUGCGCAAUGGGGGAAACCCUGACGCAGCGACACCGCGUGGAGGAUGAAGGAUUUCGGUCUGUAAACUCCUUUUGCUAGGAAAGACUUAGGACGGUACCUAGCGAAUAAGCUCCGGCUAACUACGUGCCAGCAGCCGCGGUAAUACGUAGGGAGCAAGCGUUGUCCGGAUUUACUGGGCGUAAAGGGCGUGUAGGCGGUCUGUUAAGUGUGACGUGAAAUCUUCAGGGCUCAACCCGAAAAUUGCGUCGCAGACUGGCAGACUAGAGGGAAGCAGAGGUUGAUAGAAUUCCUGGUGUAGCGGUGACAUGCGUUGAUAUCAGGAGGAAUACCGAUGGCGAAGGCAGUCAACUGGGCUUUUCCUGACGCUGAGGCGCGAAAGCGUGGGUAGCAAACAGAAUUAGAUACUCUGGUAGUCCACGCCCUAAACGAUGGAUGCUAGGCGUAAGGGGUAUCGACCCCCUUUGUGCCGUAGCUAACGCAUUAAGCAUCCCGCCUGGGGAGUACGGCCGCAAGGUUGAAACUCAAAUGAAUUGACGGGACCCCGCACAAGCGGUGGAGCAUGUGGAUUAAUUCGAUACUAACCGAAGAACCUUACCUGGGUUUGACAUCGCGGGUAAUCCUAUGAAAGUAGGACCCUGACUCACAAGGUCGGCCCAAAGACACCUGUUGCAUGGCUGUCGUCAGCUCGUGCCGUGAGGUGUUUGGUUAAGUCCAGCAACGAGCGCAACCCUCGUCUUAUGUUGCCAGCGGGUAAUGCCGGGAACUCAUGAGAGACUGCCUGUGUAAGCAGGAGGAAGGUGAGGAUGACGUCAAGUCGGCAUGGCGGUUACACCCAGGGCUUCACACAUGCUACAAUGGGCGCAACAAAGGGCAGCAAUACCGCGAGGUGGAGCUAAUCCCAAAAAUACGUCCUCAGUUCAGAUUGUAGUCUGCAACUCGACUACAUGAAGGCGGAAUCGCUAGUAAACGCAGGUCAGCUAUACUGCGUUGAAUACGUUCCCGGGGUUUGUACACACUGCCCGUCAAGUGAUCCGAGUCGUUUCUACCCGAAGUCCGUGGCCCAACCGUAAGGAGGGAGCGGCCGAAGGUGGAGGGGGUAAGGAGCACUAAGUCGUAACAAGGUACCCGUACCGGAAGGUGUGGGUGGAUCACCUCCUAA